UGGAAUCAAAAGAGCACCUGACAGCAAACAUUGAUUGUACUUUGGAACCUGAACCAGUAUGAAAGCUACUUGUUCAGUGGGACCAACUUACCUCUGGGCAGGAACCAAGUCCCUAAAAGAGCUUAAAUUUCAAUUUUGCAAAAGACGUACUGUGGGUAAAAUGGCAGAGCCAGCAUAUGUCUCCCCGUGUUCAUAUGACUCUUCCCGUAUCGACGCUAUGCAAAAUGAAUCACUGUUGCAUUACUGGAGACUGCAUGCUCUUCAUGGUCCUACUGCCACCGCCGAAAAAGUCGUCGGUGCCGACCACUGUAACUUAAAAAUGGAUGAAGAUGGCGUCGACUUGCAUGUUGCACACUGACCUGAUGUAGUCAUUAGGAGAAUGUCGAUGUCCUUGUAAAUUUGUAUAUGACCUUAUGUGACGCCCGUUUGCCCAAGUCUCACAUGUGCGGCAUCAAGUCGGUUUUGUUGUCCUUUGCGACGCUGCUUUUUAAGCUAUUGCCGCCUUCAAUGUUGUCACUAUGGUCACUCAUCUGCCCACUUACUCCACGCUUUUCUCGUCUUAUUUUAUCCUCCCCUUAGCCACGUCGUUUUUUCCAAAACACUUACUGGUCCAUCUUUUCGAUGGGCCGUCAAAACUAUACUGGUAAGCAAACCCGCGAACUGAACACCGUCUCCAAUAGUGUGGAAACCAAGGCGAAUGAAGUUAUCAUGGUUGAUGUUAACAAUCCCUACGUCUUUAACGACACAGACGACCGUUAUCGGAUUUAGGAUUUUGUUCAGGAUCUAGGUUUAAGGUUGACCUUUUGUAAUAUGAU
Molecule: long non-coding RNA, 815 nt
Organism: Daphnia carinata
Lineage: Eukaryota; Metazoa; Arthropoda; Branchiopoda; Diplostraca; Daphniidae
Exons: 2
Source: RefSeq, a predicted model, not a curated record